This 292-nucleotide ribosomal RNA is filed under the name uncultured bacterium. RNAcentral describes it as "partial 16S ribosomal RNA". It matches the Rfam family "Bacterial small subunit ribosomal RNA", at positions 505 to 796 of the family's 1533-position model. The record is from RNAcentral.
GUGCCAUCCGCCGCGGUAAUACGUAGGUGGCAAGCGUUGUCCGGAAUUAUUGGGCGUAAAGCGCGCGCAGGCGGCUUCCUAAGUCUGAUGUGAAAGCCCACGGCUCAACCGUGGAGGGUCAUUGGAAACUGGGAGGCUUGAGUGCAGAAGAGGAGAGUGGAAUUCCACGUGUAGCGGUGAAAUGCGUAGAGAUGUGGAGGAACACCAGUGGCGAAGGCGACUCUCUGGUCUGUAACUGACGCUGAGGCGCGAAAGCGUGGGGAGCGAACAGGAUUAGAUACCCGAGUAGUCC